This is a long non-coding RNA of Stegostoma tigrinum, 4702 nucleotides long. RefSeq lists it as uncharacterized. The record is from RefSeq and is a predicted model, not a curated record. The transcript is spliced from 4 exons. Lineage: Eukaryota; Metazoa; Chordata; Chondrichthyes; Orectolobiformes; Stegostomatidae.
CCAGAGGAGAUUGAGCCCUUGUAGGGAGUGCGAAACCAGCAUGGAUCAGCACUCCAGAAAGGCUGUUGAAUUUUACUUUAUUUCUUUAUUUUUCUACCUUAUACUGAGUACCAUUUGGACCAACGGCUCUACAACGAUGAGCCUAACGCUUCCAAAUGCACGCAUGCAUAAAGCAUCAAAAACACCCGGAGCAGUGCUCCAGCAAACUGUAAGAGUGGUGAAGUGGUAGAAGUGACAAGAUUAUAAAUGCAAUCAGAGAUUCAGAAAGUGGAUGGGGGCCAAGUUCACUUUGGGCCAAUAACAUUAACUUUUGGCUGUAAGGAUAGAAAUGAUAGAUGCAGCAUUCUACAGUGCCCUGCCUCCACAGAGGUGUAAUCAGAAAACCCAUGUGAAUAACAUCCUGGGAAUACCAUUUACACCCAAAAACGUGGUUUGAAUCCGGGCCCUCUUAUCCGGCUAUACUAACCCCAGUUCACUCAAACUGCAUGGAAACUUUUGCAAACAGAUUACACAUACUUGUAUGUAUAUUUGGAAACAUGCAUUCCUGUCACCUCACUGUCCCCACUAUCCCUCCCUGUAAAGUGUGUGCUGAUCAGUAAUCCCAUUGGACUGUGAGCUUUUUUUGGGGGGGGGGGGGACUUGCUGUCGCUCUAACUCUUAAAACCACACACGGAUCUUCAAACAAUUAAUGGAAAUCCAACUCCAGAAAACUCCAGUAUCCCUCUCUGAUCCUUCCAAUAAAGAGGGAAAGCCGUGUAGUUUAAGAAAUGUUGCUUCCACAGUGUACCUAAAGAAAGACCCUACAACUUUUUAAAUGGAGAGGAAUCCCUAUGUGAAAUCAUGUUUAACCAAAUUGUUGGAGCUUUUCUUGAAGGAAUAUCAUGCAGGGGAGCCCGUUGACAUAUCAAACUUGGAAUUCCAGAAGGUGUUUGUCAAGAUGCUGCCAAAAGGAUUUUGCAAGAAGUCGAAGCAUAUUGUCAAUGAGGGAAUAUGAAGGGUUGCAAGUUAGCUUUCUUUCUUCUUUAAAGCCUCGUUUGCAGUGGCAUGGGUACUGACAUUGGCAAGAGCAGGCCCUGUGCGGAAUGGCAGAAUAAGAUGGUGGCACAGCCCUGGAAGCAGCGAGGCUGAGUAAAUGUUGAAGGAGGAGGUACCCGGCCGUGGUGGCAGCAAUGCCAGGACAUGGCAGAUCAAGCUCCAACCCAGCACGAGGUCUCCUUGGAAGCAAGGGGCAGGUCGCAGGUUUAGUCCCCUGGUCCGGACUCGCCAGCCGAGCCGAGGCUCCAAGUCCAUGGCUAGGCUCAGGAACUGGAACAGCUGUCUGAUAAUAUUCUAAUCCCGUUUAUGUUACCACAAAAGGAUAACUGCCUGUUCCUGCAUUCAAUACAAUGAAGCCAUGCGGAUAAAUUGGAUUCAAAGAUGGCCAGCUCCUGGGGUAGAAUCUUAGAAUCAAUACAGUGUGGAAGCAGGCCAUUGAGCCCAUCAAGUCCACACCAACCCUCCGAAGAGCAACUCACUCGGACCCACCCCCUACGCUAUGCCUGUAACCCUGCAUUUCCCAUGGCUAAUCCACCUAACCUGCACAUCCUGUACUCACUACCUAUUAGUAAAGAGUUACGUUCCUUAACAUCCCUUGUCCAAAAGAUGAUGGCUACAAUCAAUAUGUUGGUGCAAUGGAACAUCCUGGAGAUCUUACUAAAAUAGAGCUAUUUGAUGUUCAUUUGGUAACUUUUAUCCAGAUGGAGCAGCAAACUGUUCCCCAUACACCAAGUGAAUUUUCUCCUGUUCCAAAUCUAAUUUACUUUAUUUUAGAUCACUUGGAUAAGCAAGAUAGAUAAUCUAAUGGAAGAAAGGAAGCCAAUUCUGCAGAGAAAUAAAAGGAGAAUUCAAUUCAAAACUAAAAUAAUGAAGAAAAGUCUAAAGGCAAAGGAGAUAUAAGAUAGAACCAAAGUGGUGGGGGUGGGGGUGGGAGGCUGAUGCUGUUCAAAUAGGGGAAGGAAAUAGAUGAGAGAUUAAAAAUGAAGCUUCAGGUAUCUGGAUGCUUUCAUUUGAAAAGUAAGCGAACUGCCAGAAAAGAAGGCAUCAAUUUGAACAGUGAGAGAAAAGGGAACAAAAAUUAAUCCAGAUCAUAAUUGUUUCUGGGACCACAGAAAUAUUUUCAGACUCCAGAAUAUGUGGCCACGAUAGCAAGUGGUGUUUUUGUUUAAUGUUUAGAUUUUAUGAACAAAUUUUAACCUCUGUUUCUUCUCUUGGCACAUGUGCUGAGUUAAAUUACUUUUCACGUGAUAUCCACUAACCAGCAGUGAAGGAAUUCUCCUUCGUAUUAAAAACAAUACUGCUGCAAACUUCACUUGCAGACCCUCAGCAGGAUGCAAUCCCAUCUGUGGCUUUUGAUGUGGAUGUUACUUCUGCUGCCAAUUCUAAAUUGCAAUGCCAGCACUUUCUCCAUCAAUUCAUGUUGCAGUGGGGCCAGCAGCAUCAAAACAGCAGGUGGGACCAAACCCUGCUGAGUAGCACAACAGAAGCUGGCUCAGUCCCUUUUGGUCCAAGGGUCACGUAAUGGAUGUCCCUUGUCCAUCAACCAAAAGUGAAGAGAUGUUCUCAGACACACAGCGUUGGAAAUAGCUACAGCUGCAUCAUCACAAUAGAUGUUUAUGUCAGAAACACAAUAUUUCAUGUUUCAACUUCAAAUUAUAGGCUAAACAUUAUUGUUGAUGCUACUAGUGCAUAAUGACCUGUAUGAAAUCUUUUUUAUAAACCCGAAGAAUUGAGGGUGCUGGAAAUCAAAAACAAAAUCAAAAAUUGCUGGAAAAGCUCAGCAGGUCUGGCACAAAGCAAACUUAAUGUUUUGUGUCCAGUGACCCUUCUUGAGUAUAUUAUCAUUCUUGUUUUUACACGUCUCUUAGUACAAAAUACUGUCAUUAAAAUAGUAGAGAAAAGAAUUUGAUACAGGCUUGAUGAUAUUUUUUACACAUCAUUGACUAAUAUACAGUAAUUUAAGAAAAUGUUGCAGCAGCACGAGUGACAAAGGUUUGUACAUUGCCUACUCACUCUUUCAUGGCCCAUUUAAUUUGUGAUUCUGUAACUUACUAGUGAAAAUUUACAUACCACCCACUGAAUCCUGCGAGUAUAUUAACUCAGGUUAUUCAAAUUUUAUCUUAUUGCCUGAUCAUACCCUUCAUUCUCUCUGAGUGGAAUAAAUGGAGGCCCAGUAUCUCCUUGCAGCUUGAUCUGUGAACAUCCCCUCUGCCAUAUGAGCAGCUUGAGGCUGAGGAGAAGAUAAUUGCUGUCGGUGUUAUUUCCAUUCUUGAUCCUCAUUAGAGAUAGAAGGUAGAACUUCAUAAGCUGCUCCCAAGCUGUGUUGAAAGCUAGCAGCAGGGCAGAGUAGCUGAAGGGGAGUGAAGUACAAGGCAGGUGAAGUGUUUUCCAAGAAGUUGGCAAUCACCUGUCAAGCAGUAAAAGCGAUUUCCAGGAAAAUAAAGUGCUUCGACCAGGAGUCCCACAUCUGGCCAUAGCCAAAGCACUUCAGUUUCACAGUAGAUGCACUCCCUCCUGUGCAAUCGUUCACACUGGCAAGUGACUAAUAGGUCAGGAAAUAGGUGUGCUGACUGGUAAAGACAGAAUUGAUGGCAAGUGAUGUUGGGAUUCGACUUUUUUAUCAUUCCUUUGGAAUUUAGUUGCUCAUAUGGUCUGAAACCUGCCUCAGCUUGCCUGAAAAAACUCUUAAUUGGGUCUUCUGCUUUUGAAUUAAUUGGAUUAUUUCCAAUUCUAUGUGCUGUCUUGUGUAGAACUUUACUGAAUGCUUUCGAUAAGUCUAUAUAUAUUAACCCCAUAAGAACUCCCUUAUCUACCACGUUAGUUACAGCUACAAAAAAAUUUACCUAAGUCCGAUAGUUAUGACUUUCCCUUUAAAACUGUAUGAUGGCUUUCUCUGAUCAUUUCAUAUAGGAGCAGUAGGGGCUAGGAACUACAAUAGGCCAAUUAAGGUAGAGGUUAUAGGUGAAUGGUACCUGAUGUGGAUAAGAUAUGAACAGCUUCAAAACAGAUGGAGAUUUUGGAAGAUGGAGGGAGAAUUACCGGAACUGUUUUGGAAUCAUUGACAGCAAUUAUGUCAAUAGCCUAGUUGAUGUUUCAGUACCAAAUGGACUAUGAUAAAAGGAAGUAUGGAUGAUAUAAAGGAGUUUGGUAGUUUGUGAAAGAGAUAAUAAGAUUAGAAGCUCAGUGCAAUGUUAAAAAGGUUAUGAACAGUCUGGCCAUUGAAUGUAGACAGUGAGAGAAUGUUCCUCUUGUGAUAUCAGCACAAUUGGCCAACAGUACUAGAUUGCUGUGAAGCAAUCAAAAAUGGAACUUAACAGAAACCUCUUCAAGGGACAGCUGGGACUGUGGAAGAAGGAAUAGUUAAGGUGCGUAGUGCAGAUACAUUUAGGGACAAGCUAAAGUUGGAUGAGAAAAACAAAUGGAAAUUGCUUGAAAGAACCAUAAAUACCACAUUGACAGGUUGAAUCAAAUGGCCUGUUUCUGCGCUCCAUAUUCUAUGUAUAAGAAAUCCUCAUUUUAUGUUAUAUUUGUAUUCCUGAAUAAUGCAGUUUAAGUGAAACAACUUUAAAUGAAUCAUUAAUUCUAACAGGAAUCAAUAUUACAUGUUUUGUUAAAUUUCAUACGGUCUUCUAUAGUAGGAACAAAAACAUUAAAACAUUAUGCCUAA